Molecule: microRNA precursor, 100 nt
Filed under: Mesocricetus auratus (golden hamster)
Lineage: Eukaryota; Metazoa; Chordata; Mammalia; Rodentia; Cricetidae
Description: miRNA (ENSMAUG00000003011.1)
Source: RNAcentral
CUUGAAGAGAUAUGACCCGGGGCUGGAGAGAUGGCUCAGAGAUUAAGAACACUGGAUGCUCUUUCAGAGAUCCUGAGUUCAAUUCCCAGCAACCACAUGG